GACGAACGCUGGCGGCGUGCUUAACACAUGCAAGUCGAACGGUGAAGCGCCUUCCUUUUUGGUGGGUGUGGAUGAGUGGCGAACGGGUGAGUAACACGUGAGUAACCUGCCCCCUUCUUCUGGAUAACCGCAUGAAAGUGUGGCUAAUACGGGAUAUUCUGGGUCUGUCGCAUGAUGGGUCUGGGAAAGAUAUUGUUUCGGUGGGGGAUGGGCUCGCGGCCUAUAAGCUUGUUGGUGGGGUGAUGGCCUACCAAGGCGGUGACGGGUAGCCGGCCUGAGAGGGUGGACGGUCACACUGGGACUGAGACACGGCCCAGACUCCUACGGGAGGCAGCAGUGGGGAAUAUUGCACAAUGGGCGCAAGCCUGAUGCAGCGACGCCGCGUGAGGGAUGGAGGCCUUCGGGUUGUGAACCUCUUUCGCCAGUGAAGCAGGCCUGCCUCGUUUGUGGGUGGGUUGACGGUAGCUGGAUAAGAAGCGCCGGCUAACUACGUG
RNAcentral lists this ribosomal RNA (494 nucleotides) under uncultured bacterium. RNAcentral's name for it is "partial 16S ribosomal RNA". It matches the Rfam family "Bacterial small subunit ribosomal RNA", at positions 28 to 507 of the family's 1533-position model. The record is from RNAcentral.